This 253-nucleotide ribosomal RNA is filed under the name uncultured bacterium. RNAcentral's name for it is "partial 16S ribosomal RNA". It matches the Rfam family "Bacterial small subunit ribosomal RNA", at positions 524 to 776 of the family's 1533-position model. The record is from RNAcentral.
UACAUGGGGUGCAAACGUUGCUCGGAAUUAUUGGGCGUAAAGCGCGCGUAGGCGGUUACUCAAGUCGGAUGUGAAAGCCCUCGGCUUAACUGAGGAAGUGCACCCGAAACUGAGUAGCUAGAGUACUAAAGAGGGUCGCGGAAUUCCCGGUGUAGAGGUGAAAUUCGUAGAUAUCUGGAGGAACACCGGUGGCGAAGGCGGCAUCCUGGACCAACACUGACGCUGAGGAGCGAGAGCCAGGGGAGCAAACGGG